UGCACUAACUUUGCUAAGCACGGUUUAUUG
This 30-nucleotide non-coding RNA is filed under the name Rattus norvegicus (Norway rat). The record is from RNAcentral. Lineage: Eukaryota; Metazoa; Chordata; Mammalia; Rodentia; Muridae.